RNAcentral lists this ribosomal RNA (253 nucleotides) under uncultured bacterium. Its description in RNAcentral is "partial 16S ribosomal RNA". It matches the Rfam family "Bacterial small subunit ribosomal RNA", at positions 524 to 776 of the family's 1533-position model. The record is from RNAcentral.
UACGUAGGCAGCAAGCGUUGUUCGGAGUUACUGGGCGUAAAGGGUGCGUAGGUGGCGCGCUAAGUCGGGUGUGAAAUUUCGGAGCUUAACUCCGAAACUGCAUUCGAUACUGGCGUGCUUGAGGACUGGAGAGGAGACUGGAAUUCAUGGUGUAGCAGUGAAAUGCGUAGAGAUCAUGAGGAAGACCAGUGGCGAAGGCGGGUCUCUGGACAGUUCCUGACACUGAGGCACGAAGGCCAGGGGAGCAAACGGG